CCUAAACUGCUCUCUGAUAACCUCCGUUAGUAUCUCCAUGUUUUUUCUUCCUUCGUAAGAGAAAAAAUCCUGCUUUUUUCUUUUUUUCGUGAAAAAUUGGGGUUUGCUCUCUCUUUUUUUAAAAAAAAAAAGGAUUUGUUCUUCUUUCGUUUUCAUAUCUUUUCUGAUUGUUCAUCGUUGAUUUUGCUUUAAUUAUUGUUUGUUUGUUUUUUUUUUGCAGAGACGAUUUUUGCCGAAAAGAAUAAAUAACCAAGGCCAGUUCUGUAUUGGGAUUUUUAUACCGAAGAAGAGUUUGCUAUGUAAAAGGAAAGUGAAUUUCUUUUGGAGUUAGUAUAUUCUGAUUUAGUCGUAGUAGACAAGAAGGAAAAAGAGGUGAAUUUUGUGGAGUUCGUAUUAUUCUGAUUAUAUGUGUUUGAUAAACUAUUUUCUUAUUGUUAAUUUUUUGAUGUUGGAAAUGGUUGAUUAGAUCCUUUAGGAUUCUAAUAUCGCACCCUGAAUUUUUUUGGUAGGAUUUAUAUUCACUGUUAGUUCAUUGUAGUCCAUGUACCAUUUGUCUAAGAUUUUUGUUCGGUUUGCUAGAUCGACCCUUCGGAAUAUUGCAAUAGGACUGUCUUUGAGGAUGCCACACCCGAAUUGCUCAGGCAUUUCUCCUGGGAUGAUGAUUUCCCGUCCAAUCAGGAUGCAAUAUCAUACUCAUACAUUCUAAGGCAUAAGAGGAAUGCCCUACUAAAGGAACCAUGGUAGUCCAUUGGACACGUAAGAUUUGGUGAUUACCUUAGGCUCUUCAUACAUUUAAUGGACUAGGCUUAACUCAUCUUCUUAGUAGUUCAUUUUGGUGAUAAUAUUCUUCUGAAUUCUAUAUUCUGGUGAAGUUUCUCUUCGUCUACAACGACAGAGAAUACAUAAUAGAACGUCGAAUAUGGGAUGCAGGAAGACCAUAUUGGUGUGUCACUAAGGUAUGGUGGAAACAUACAACUAUUUUGUUGUUGUAGAGCCUCCAGUUUGAUGUCAUCCAAUGUUGAGAAUUUUAUGCCUGUAAGCUAUUUGUUGGAACAAAAAAAAUAUUGAUCAUCAAAGUUAUGUAUACUAAACAGCAUAGUUACGAACCUUGACAUGAUGCAUUCAUUUUUCACGCAUAUAAAGGGAACGACGGUGCUGUGGCACAAAGAACAUAGUUUAGUUUCAUUGCUUGACAUGGUUCUUCCUUAAAAAAAUUUAUUUUGACAUGUUUAAUUUCUUUUUACAAUAAAGUUUCAUGGUUUAGUUGGUCCAUUAAUGAAUGAUUGAAUUGUAUCGCACCAGAUGAAAUGAUUCCACGUCUAUAAACACCACACAUACAUGCCAAAUCACCGGUAUCAAUAAAUCUACAUUUAACUGGAGGAAGAAGUGGUGACCUUCUCAUGGUGGAAUUUGGUUGGGUUGGCAACUCCAUUUUGCGGCACA
Papaver somniferum (opium poppy) is the source of this 1443-nucleotide long non-coding RNA. RefSeq lists it as uncharacterized. The transcript is spliced from 3 exons. NCBI's taxonomy places the organism in Eukaryota, Viridiplantae, Streptophyta, Magnoliopsida, Ranunculales, Papaveraceae. The record is from RefSeq and is a predicted model, not a curated record.